RNAcentral lists this ribosomal RNA (518 nucleotides) under uncultured bacterium. Its description in RNAcentral is "bacterial SSU rRNA". It matches the Rfam family "Bacterial small subunit ribosomal RNA", at positions 8 to 518 of the family's 1533-position model. The record is from RNAcentral.
AGAGUUGAUCAUGGCUCAGGAUGAACGCUAGCUACAGGCUUAACACAUGCAAGUCGAGGGGCAGCAUUGGAGUAGCAAUACUCAGAUGGCGACCGGCGCACGGGUGAGUAACACGUAUCCAACCUGCCGCUUACUCGGGGAUAGCCUUUCGGAAGAAAGAUUAAUACCCGAUGGUAUAAAGAGUUCGCAUGUUCUCUUUAUUAAAGAAUUUCGGUAAGCGAUGGGGAUGCGUUCCAUUAGAUAGUUGGCGUGGUAACGGCCCACCAAGUCUACGAUGGAUAGGGGUUCUGAGAGGAAGGUCCCCCACAUUGGAACUGAGACACGGUCCAAACUCCUACGGGAGGCAGCAGUGAGGAAUAUUGGUCAAUGGACGAGAGUCUGAACCAGCCAAAAGUAGCGUGAAGGAUGACUGCCCUAUGGGUUGUAAACUUCUUUUAUAAGGGAAUAAAGUGAGGGACGUGUCCCUUUUUGUAUGUACCUUAUGAAUAAGGAUCGGCUAACUCCGUGCCAGCCGCCGC